RNAcentral lists this unclassified non-coding RNA (161 nucleotides) under uncultured Hypocreales. RNAcentral describes it as "sequence contains ITS1". The record is from RNAcentral. Lineage: Eukaryota; Fungi; Ascomycota; Sordariomycetes; Hypocreales.
CAGAGCUUAACAACUCCCAAACCCCUGUGAACAUACCACUGUUGCUUCGGCGGGCACGCCCCGGGCGCUCAUCGCGUGCCCCGGAACCAGGCGCCCGCCGGGGGAAAACAAACUCUUGUCUUACUUUGCAUGUCUGAGUGGAAUCAUAAACAAAUGAAUCA